UUUUGGUCUGGCGGCAUCCGGGGCGAAUGUCAGCAAGUUUGUCGAGUCGUAGAGUUGACAAAAAGGCGACGUUAAAAUGCAACAAGGAAACAUUAGCUAGAGAGCCUCUCUAACACUAUCACCAGCGAGCUCGUGUACCGUAGCUUAAUGUGGGACCCGGGGAGACUUUCACCUCUUUCGGUGUGGUUAAAACCUGCUGGAUGAGACCGGGUCGGGCCUCGGUCCUCCUCCUUCUUGGAGUGUGAAGGGUGCUCGGGCCUCGGAGGCAGAUGGAUGGCGGCAUGAAGAACGAUUGGGCGUCACCGUGGCGGCGACAGAUAGCCAAGGCGCGCCGACGCAAAGAGAUCGGUCUCGAUCUGACUCUAUUUGUCACCAUCGAACUUCGGGAGGAGGUGUGACGAGCUCGGGACCGUCGUCCACCCUCACCACUGCAGAGAAGAAAAAGGAAAAGAUGUCAGACUCCAGCUCGCACGACUAAUUUGUGCUGCAGCCAGUGGAGAGAAAAAAGCAGCAGCGUGAAGCACAACCAUCACAGUGAGAGUUUUGCUGCUCGAGAGCUGACUAGAACUGCAAGAGCGCAGCGCAGGGAUACUUACUGUGGCAGACCGAGUCGCUGACAGGCGUGCAGUGGGCCAGCUGGAUCUCGGUCUCGUCGUCGCAGAUGGUACAGGGCAGGCAGGGGUCCAGUGAGCUGUCGCGGUCUGAGAAGGGUGUGUAUUGGGGUGCACCAACUCUGUCUGGAUGUUAAAGGAGUUUGGAGAAACCCGGGACAAAGUACUAAAGAACUCACUGGAUAUCUUCCUGAAGAACUGUCACAGCACAGCUGGUUGGCAACGCGGCCACGCCAAUUCCGCCAGCUGCCGAGCGCCUGCUUCACUGUCAUUCAAAAAGUCUUCCAACGAUCACGCCGUCAAGUUUUUAUUUGCAGAGGACUGCCAAACUUGAGUAAGUCCACUGCAGCAUCAAGAGGAGGAGGAGGAGGAGGAGGAGGAGG
This is a long non-coding RNA of Phyllopteryx taeniolatus (common seadragon), 994 nucleotides long. RefSeq lists it as uncharacterized. The transcript has 9 exons. NCBI's taxonomy places the organism in Eukaryota, Metazoa, Chordata, Actinopteri, Syngnathiformes, Syngnathidae. The record is from RefSeq and is a predicted model, not a curated record.